RNAcentral lists this ribosomal RNA (430 nucleotides) under uncultured bacterium. Its description in RNAcentral is "partial 16S ribosomal RNA". It matches the Rfam family "Bacterial small subunit ribosomal RNA", at positions 29 to 507 of the family's 1533-position model. The record is from RNAcentral.
AACGAACGCUGGCGGCAGGCCUAACACAUGCAAGUCGAACGCCCCGCUCGGGGAGUGGCAGUCGGGUGAGUAGCACGUGGGAACCUUCCCUAUAGUACGGAAUAGCCCAGGGCCACUUGGAGUAAUACCGUAUACGCCCGAAAGCGGAAAGAAUUUCGCUAUAGGAUGUGCUCGCGUAGGAUUAGCUAGUUGGUGAGGUAAUGGCUCACCACGGCGACGAUCCUUAGCUGGUUUGAGAGAACGACCAGACACACUGGGACUGGGACGCGGCCCAGACUCCUACGGGAUGCAGCAGAGGGGAAUAGUGGACAAUGGGCGCAAGCAUGAUCCAGCCAUGCCGCGUGAGUGAUGAAGGCCGUAGAGUUGUAAAGCGCUAUUAGCGGAGACGAUAAUGACGGUACCCGCAGAAUAAGUCCCGGCUAACUUCGUG